RNAcentral lists this ribosomal RNA (963 nucleotides) under uncultured bacterium. RNAcentral describes it as "bacterial SSU rRNA". It matches the Rfam family "Bacterial small subunit ribosomal RNA", at positions 91 to 1066 of the family's 1533-position model. The record is from RNAcentral.
GAGAGUGGCGAACGGGUGAGUAAGACGUUGGUGACCUGCCCCGGAGAGGGGGAUAAUUCCGCGAAAGCGGGACUAAUACCCCAUAGGCUGCAGGGGGUUAGAGGCUUCUGCAGUAAAGGCUGAGGCGCUUCGGGAGGGGCCAGCGGCCUAUCAGCUUGUUGGUAGGGUAAGGGCCUACCAAGGCUGAGACGGGUAGGGGGCGUGAGAGCGUGGCCCCCCACAAUGGCACUGAGACACGGGCCAUACUCCUACGGGAGGCAGCAGUGAGGAAUAUUGCGCAAUGGGGGCAACCCUGACGCAGCAACGCCGCGUGGGUGAAGAAGGCCUUCGGGUUGUAAAACCCUUUUCUGGAGGACGAGUAAGGACGGUACUCCAGGAAUAAGUCCCGGCUAACUACGUGCCAGCAGCCGCGGUAAAACGUAGGGGGCGAGCGUUAUCCGGAUUUACUGGGCGUAAAGCGCGUGCAGGCGGCUGGGCAGGUUGGACGUGAAAGCUCCUGGCUCAACUGGGAGAGGUCGUUCAAGACCGCCUGGCUUGAGGGCGGAAGAGGGGAGUGGAAUUCCCGGUGUAGUGGUGGAAUGCGUAGAGAUCGGGAGGAACACCUGUGGCGAAAGCGGCUCCCUGGUCCGCACCUGACGCUCAGACGCGAAAGCGUGGGGAGCGAACGGGAUUAGAUACCCCGGUAGUCCACGCUGUAAACGAUGGAUGCUAGGUGUGGGUGGUAUUGACCCCAUCCGUGCCGUAGCUAACGCGUUAAGCAUCCCGCCUGGGGACUACGGCCGCAAGGUUAAAACUCAAAGGAAUUGACGGGGGCCCGCACAAGCAGCGGAGCGUGUGGUUUAAUUCGAUGCUACGCGAAGAACCUUACCUGGGUUUGACAUGCCCGUAGUAGGGAGCCGAAAAGGUGACCGACCCUUCGGGGGAGCGGGCACAGGUGCUGCAUGGCUGUCGUCAGCUCCUGUC